AUGAAUCAAUCCAAUUUCAGUAUUUUAUCAUGGAACGUUCGCGGUCUCGGUGAUGCUGAUAAAUGCAAAGAUAUUCUCUCUGAACUAAUCACACUCAAACCCUCUGUCGCUCUACGUCAAGAAUCCAAACUCGAGAACGUUUAUGUCACCAAAUUAUACUCGUUCAUGCCUCGAUCCCUAGACCAAAUCAUCUCCCUCCCAGCCAUCGGCAUCCUAUCCGCGGUCAACUCACACGCCCUAACCCUCCUUAGCCACUCACGCGGUCUCUUUACUACAUCUCUAAAUCUAUCUUGUCCCACAUACGGCACCCUCCUAACCGUAUCCAAUGUUUACGCCCCCUCUCAACGCUCGCUUAAAAGUUAUUUCAUUCAAGAGCUAAAAGAUAUCUCGCCUGACAGCUCAACUCAUUGGCUUCUUAUUAGCGAUUUCAACCUCAUCCGGUUUGCCUGCGAAAAAAAUAAUAACAAUUUCCACUCCGCGGAAGCUGACAUGUUCAACUCAGCUAUUUCCGACCUACAACUCAUCAAGCUCCCACUCCUCGACAAAAAUUUCACCUGGUCCAACAACCGUUCAAACCCAACCCUGGAACGCAUCAACAAAGCCUUCUUUAACCUAGCUUGGGAAAAUAGCCUCCCUAACUUCACCCUCUCCUCCCUAACAAGAUUCUCUUCCGACCAC
RNAcentral lists this ribosomal RNA (678 nucleotides) under Triticum aestivum (bread wheat). Its description in RNAcentral is "partial small subunit ribosomal RNA". Lineage: Eukaryota; Viridiplantae; Streptophyta; Magnoliopsida; Poales; Poaceae. The record is from RNAcentral.